Molecule: ribosomal RNA, 666 nt
Filed under: uncultured Micromonosporaceae bacterium
Lineage: Bacteria; Bacillati; Actinomycetota; Actinomycetes; Micromonosporales; Micromonosporaceae
Description: bacterial SSU rRNA
Rfam family: Bacterial small subunit ribosomal RNA
Source: RNAcentral
CUUUGGGAUAACCCUCGGAAACGGGGGCUAAUACCGGAUAUGACCUGGCUUCGCAUGGGGUUGGGUGGAAAGUUCUUUCGGCGUGGGAUGGGCUCGCGGCCUAUCAGCUUGUUGGUGGGGUGAUGGCCUACCAAGGCGGUGACGGGUAGCCGGCCUGAGAGGGCGACCGGCCACACUGGGACUGAGACACGGCCCAGACUCCUACGGGAGGCAGCAGUGGGGAAUAUUGCACAAUGGGCGGAAGCCUGAUGCAGCGACGCCGCGUGAGGGAUGACGGCCUUCGGGUUGUAAACCUCUUUCAGUAGGGACGAAGCGUGAGUGACGGUACCUACAGAAGAAGCGCCGGCCAACUACGUGCCAGCAGCCGCGGUAAGACGUAGGGCGCGAGCGUUGUCCGGAUUUAUUGGGCGUAAAGAGCUCGUAGGCGGCUUGUCGCGUCGACUGUGAAAACCCACGGCUUAACUGUGGGCUUGCAGUCGAUACGGGCAGGCUAGAGUUCGGUAGGGGAGACUGGAAUUCCUGGUGCAGCGGUGAAAUGCGCAGAUAUCAGGAGGAACACCGGUGGCGAAGGCAGGUCUCUGGGCCGAUACUGACGCUGAGGAGCGAAAGCGUGGGGAGCGAACAGGAUUAGAUACCCUGGUAGUCCACGCUGUAAACGUUGGGCGC